Non-coding RNA from Carica papaya (papaya), 276 nucleotides. Lineage: Eukaryota; Viridiplantae; Streptophyta; Magnoliopsida; Brassicales; Caricaceae. The record is from RefSeq and is a predicted model, not a curated record.
AGAAAAUAGCAAAAGUUGGAAAAACUCAAACUUAAGGAACUUACACAACUUGAAAUUGUUGUUGAGACUGAUAGGGCACGUCGUGAAGAGAAGAUUAUCUCCAAUAUGAAGGAGGUUGGCGCCAAGGUCUCCAUGGUCUGAGACAUGAAAAUGAAACAGUAGUAGAGAGUUCCAAGCUUCGAUUAAAUGGCUGAUGAGAUCCAACAGUAGCCCAUCUUGGUAUCAUGUGGGUCUACCUGCAAGUCCUGGAGAUCAAUGUAGUUUUCCUUCAUAGUG